RNAcentral lists this ribosomal RNA (491 nucleotides) under uncultured bacterium. Its description in RNAcentral is "partial 16S ribosomal RNA". It matches the Rfam family "Bacterial small subunit ribosomal RNA", at positions 28 to 507 of the family's 1533-position model. The record is from RNAcentral.
GAUGAACGCUAGCUACAGGCUUAACACAUGCAAGUCGAGGGGAAACGGCAUUGAGUGCUUGCACUCUUUGGACGUCGACCGGCGCACGGGUGAGUAACGCGUAUCCAACCUUCCCAUUACUGUGGGAUAACCUGCCGAAAGGCAGACUAAUACCGCAUAGUCUUCGAUGACGGCAUCAGAUUUGAAGUAAAGAUUUAUCGGUAAUGGAUGGGGAUGCGUCUGAUUAGCUUGUUGGCGGGGUAACGGCCCACCAAGGCUACGAUCAGUAGGGGUUCUGAGAGGAAGGUCCCCCACAUUGGAACUGAGACACGGUCCAAACUCCUACGGGAGGCAGCAGUGAGGAAUAUUGGUCAAUGGACGGAAGUCUGAACCAGCCAAGUAGCGUGCAGGAUGACGGCCUAUGGGUUGUAAACUGCUUUUGUAUGGGGAUAAAGUUAGGGACGUGUCCCUAUUUGCAGGUACCAUACGAAUAAGGACCGGCUAAUUCCGUG